RNAcentral lists this ribosomal RNA (351 nucleotides) under Triticum aestivum (bread wheat). RNAcentral describes it as "partial small subunit ribosomal RNA". The record is from RNAcentral. Lineage: Eukaryota; Viridiplantae; Streptophyta; Magnoliopsida; Poales; Poaceae.
AUGGAGUGCAUCCUCAAGAUUGUGUUCUGGAACGUCCGUGGCCUUCACUCUAGGGCUAAGCGCACCGCAGUCCGCUCUAUAAUUUCCUCGGUUUCACCGAACGUUGUGUGUCUUCAAGAAACGAAGCUCGAUUCGUUCUUGUUGCCCCUUGUCGUGGAGACGCUCGGCUCAUGCUUCUUGGAUUACUUCUUCCUCCCGGCCUCCAGUACCUGGGGCGGCAUCCUUCUUUCUUGGAACCGUAACGAGAUUGCUAUCUCCAGCUCCUACAUCAGUCAGCACCACAUCACGACCCUCAUUUCUACCACUUCGGGCACGCACCCCUGGUGGAUCACCGGGGUCUAUGGCCCGUAG